AUUGAACGCUGGCGGCAUGCCUUACACAUGCAAGUCGAACGGCAGCGGGGGAGAAGCUUGCUUUUCCUGCCGGCGAGUGGCGAACGGGUGAGUAAUACAUCGGAACGUGCCCUGUAGUGGGGGAUAACUAGCCGAAAGAUUAGCUAAUACCGCAUACGACCUGAGGGUGAAAGUGGGGGACCGCAAGGCCUCAUGCUAUAGGAGCGGCCGAUGUCUGAUUAGCUAGUUGGUGGGGUAAAGGCCUACCAAGGCGACGAUCAGUAGCUGGUCUGAGAGGGCGAUCAGCCACACUGGGACUGAGACACGGCCCAGACUCCUACGGGAGGCAGCAGUGGGGAAUUUUGGACAAUGGGCGAAAGCCUGAUCCAGCGAUGCCGCGUGUGUGAAGAAGGCCUUCGGGUUGUAAAGCACUUUUGUCCGGAAAGAAAUGGCUCUGGUUAAUACCUGGGGUCGAUGACGGUACCGGAAGAAUAAGGACCGGCUAACUACGUGCCAGCCGCCGCCGUAA
Molecule: ribosomal RNA, 508 nt
Filed under: uncultured bacterium
Lineage: Bacteria
Description: partial 16S ribosomal RNA
Rfam family: Bacterial small subunit ribosomal RNA
Source: RNAcentral